UGACGAGUGGCGGACGGGUGAGUAAUGUCUGGGAAACUGCCUGAUGGAGGGGGAUAACUACUGGAAACGGUGGCUAAUACCGCAUAACGUCGCAAGACCAAAGAGGGGGACCUUCGGGCCUCUUGCCAUCAGAUGUGCCCAGAUGGGAUUAGCUUGUUGGUGAGGUAACGGCUCACCAAGGCGACGAUCCCUAGCUGGUCUGAGAGGAUGACCAGCCACACUGGAACUGAGACACGGUCCAGACUCCUACGGGAGGCAGCAGUGGGGAAUAUUGCACAAUGGGCGCAAGCCUGAUGCAGCCAUGCCGCGUGUAUGAAGAAGGCCUUCGGGUUGUAAAGUACUUUCAGCGGGGAGGAAGGUGUUGUGGUUAAUAACCACAGCAAUUGACGUUACCCGCAGAAGAAGCACCGGCUAACUCCGUGCCAGCAGCCGCGGUAAUACGGAGGGUGCAAGCGUUAAUCGGAAUUACUGGGCGUAAAGCGCACGCAGGCGGUCUGUCAAGUCGGAUGUGAAAUCCCCGGGCUCAACCUGGGAACUGCAUUCGAAACUGGCAGGCUUGAGUCUUGUAGAGGGGGGUAGAAUUCCAGGUGUAGCGGUGAAAUGCGUAGAGAUCUGGAGGAAUACCGGUGGCGAAGGCGGCCCCCUGGACAAAGACUGACGCUCAGGUGCGAAAGCGUGGGGAGCAAACAGGAUUAGAUACCCUGGUAGUCCACGCCGUAAACGAUGUCUACUUGGAGGUUGUGCCCUUGAGGCGUGGCUUCCGGAGCUAACGCGUUAAGUAGACCGCCUGGGGAGUACGGCCGCAAGGUUAAAACUCAAAUGAAUUGACGGGGGCCCGCACAAGCGGUGGAGCAUGUGGUUUAAUUCGAUGCAACGCGAAGAACCUUACCUGGUCUUGACAUCCACAGAACUUUCCAGAGAUGGAUUGGUGCCUUCGGGAACUGUGAGACAGGUGCUGCAUGGCUGUCGUCAGCUCGUGUUGUGAAAUGUUGGGUUAAGUCCCGCAACGAGCGCAACCCUUAUCCUUUGUUGCCAGCGGUUAGGCCGGGAACUCAAAGGAGACUGCCAGUGAUAAACUGGAGGAAGGUGGGGAUGACGUCAAGUCAUCAUGGCCCUUACGACCAGGGCUACACACGUGCUACAAUGGCGCAUACAAAGAGAAGCGACCUCGCGAGAGCAAGCGGACCUCAUAAAGUGCGUCGUAGUCCGGAUUGGAGUCUGCAACUCGACUCCAUGAAGUCGGAAUCGCUAGUAAUCGUGGAUCAGAAUGCCACGGUGAAUACGUUCCCGGGCCUUGUACACACCGCCCGUCACACCAUGGGAGUGGGUUGCAAAAGAAGUAGGUAGCUUAACCUUCGGGAGGGCGCUUACCACUUUGUGAUUCAUGACUGGGGUGAAGUCGUAACAAGGUAACCGUAGGGGAACCUGCGGUUGGAUCACCUCCUUACCUUAAAGAAGC
RNAcentral lists this ribosomal RNA (1459 nucleotides) under Salmonella enterica subsp. enterica serovar Enteritidis str. SARB17. Its description in RNAcentral is "bacterial SSU rRNA". It matches the Rfam family "Bacterial small subunit ribosomal RNA". The record is from RNAcentral. Lineage: Bacteria; Pseudomonadati; Pseudomonadota; Gammaproteobacteria; Enterobacterales; Enterobacteriaceae.